Long non-coding RNA from Sinocyclocheilus grahami, 276 nucleotides. RefSeq lists it as uncharacterized. Lineage: Eukaryota; Metazoa; Chordata; Actinopteri; Cypriniformes; Cyprinidae. The transcript has 3 exons. The record is from RefSeq and is a predicted model, not a curated record.
AGUUCGUUUAGAUGUCAAAAUUGUACAGUGUUGCUCUUCGGUUCUUCCUGGCUCACCCUGUUUGAGCACUCCUUCCUCAGCUGGGAAAUAGCUUAAAUAUGAGGAAACCUCCAUUCAGAAGAUUGAUCCUGUUCAACAUGCAGCAGAUUUUGUUUUUUUUAGUGUCAUCAUUGCCACUUGACUGACAGUGAGUUAUUGGUGGCUUGCCAGUGUACCAGAGGGUGUCCGAGUCCAAUCAUUCACUAUGAAGAACCAUCUAUUGCUGCUGACCUCCAA